UACAGAGGGGGCAAGCGUUGUUCGGAAUUACUGGGCGUAAAGGGCGCGUAGGUGGCCUUCUAAGUUGAACGUGAAAUCCCUGGGCUCAACCCAGGAACUGCGUCCAAGACUGGGAGGCUUGAAUCCGGGAGAGGGAUGCGGAAUUCCAGGUGUAGCGGUGAAAUGCGUAGAUAUCGGGAGGAACACCUAUGGCGAAGGCAGCUCGCUGGGACGUUACUGACGCUGAGACGCGAAAGCGUGGGGAGCAAACAGG
This 253-nucleotide ribosomal RNA is filed under the name uncultured bacterium. Its description in RNAcentral is "partial 16S ribosomal RNA". It matches the Rfam family "Bacterial small subunit ribosomal RNA", at positions 524 to 776 of the family's 1533-position model. The record is from RNAcentral.